Felis catus (domestic cat) is the source of this 18295-nucleotide long non-coding RNA. RefSeq lists it as uncharacterized. The record is from RefSeq and is a predicted model, not a curated record. NCBI's taxonomy places the organism in Eukaryota, Metazoa, Chordata, Mammalia, Carnivora, Felidae. The transcript has 16 exons.
GACCUUGAAGUCAGGAGUCAGUUGCUCUAGCAACUGAGCCACCCAGGCACCUCCGUUUUGUGUGUGUGUGUGUGUGUUUUUUUAAGUGUGAGGGUUUUUCUUUAUCGUGCAUUCUCCAGUAAUAACUUGUGACCACUGAGUUCUCACCCUUGACUGUAAACUCCAUGAAACCAGGAACUCUAUCAUUUAAUCUACUGCCUGGAAUAGAGAAGGUCAUCAAUAAAUAUUUGCUGAAUGCAUAUAUGUUUCUCUUGUACAAUAUGCUCAAAAUGUCAUGUGAGCAAAUGCCUUUACUAUGACAUAAGAGAACUUCAGGACACAUUUUAGUGAUGAAUGAAGUAAAUUGUAAAAACAAUUCUCAUGUUACUCUCUUGAAAACAUUAACUUGUUGUUCCCCAUUUUGUUCUGUUCUUCUUUUUUAGUGCUACAGCAUAGGAUUGUGGGUGUGGGCUCUGCAACCACAGAGCAACACUCCCUGGUUUCAAAUCCAGACUACAUUACUGAGUAGCUGUGCAGAAAUAAAUUAACCAUUGUGUUUCUCAAUUUUCUCAUGUGUAGAAUGGUUAUAAUAGUAACACCUAUCUCACAGAGCUCUUUGUUGAUGGUUAAAUGAGCUAAUACUUGAAUGUACUUAGAAUAGCGCCUGGCACACACUACGAGUGUUAGCUCUUCUAGCUCCUUCCCUGGGCCAGCCUAUGCUAGUUAUCCUAUCAUCCUAUUCUGAGAUCUAGGAUGAAUGGUCUCUCUUGUGGCCUUCUGGUUUCUGGAGAAGCGGGCAAAGUCCUGGCUUUGCUUUCGUUCACCAGAUUUGCCCUCCAGUUUUGAUUCUGUUCUUUCUGCAGCCAUGUGACUGGCAUGUGGGCAGCACAUCCAGAGCUCUGGGUGCUGGAAUCGCUCUCCGACACUUCCUGGUUAUGAGCAGUUUCCCAGUGGUGAGUUUCCUGUCAGGAAGCGAUCUCUCUGUCCUCUCCUGCCUAUCUCCUUCCCGGAGCUCUUCUCUCCUAAAUUAGUAUAUUCUAUAUCCUGUCCUAUGAUUUCUCCUGAAAGUCUUUUGCUCUUCACAACUCCCUCUCCCCAAGUUCUCAAGCCACCUAGCCUGAUCUAGAUGAUAUAUCUGUAUCCCUUCUCCACUUUCCUUUCCCAAGUCACCGCCCCUCCCUCCAGGGACACAGUGUAGUCCCCUCUGGGGAAUGUUCUCUUCGAGUCUCAGACACGUCUGUGGGUGUAUGCAAGGUAUUUGAAUGUUGCCUAGAAUAAGAAAAGAUCACCCACCUCCCUGACUGCAAAAAACAACAAUAAUAGUAAAAUGAGGACAACCCAGGGCUCUUGAAUAGCAGAACCAAUUUCCAGAGCCUCCAUACCAAGUAGUGCCUAGCGCUUAGUAGGGCCUCCAUAAAGGUGUGUGGAACACUGAACUGGCUCAGCCUCUAGGCCAGGCCACGGUCUGGAAAGGACAGCCUUCUAGCGCUCUUGACUUCACUUAAUUCUGGGGAUCAGGCCCCACCCUGUUUGGUUAACUUGACCUGUACCUGUGAGAAACUGCAAAUAUUUCACUGCAGGUUCCUACCAUAUCUGAGGAAAUGUUUAUUUCCUGUCCACCGCUAGCAUAAUCCAGCAAUAUUAAAAAAAAAAAAAAAAUAGGGUAGCUAGAGACAGCCAUGAAAAGAAGGAAAAAAAUGAGUGGUCACUUGCUCACCAGAAAGCAAACACAUAAAAAGAAGGAAGAAAAUGUGGUUAUUGCUAACAAGUGGCACAAACUCCCAGUUCCUUCUUUUAUGCUUCUGUCCAUAGGCAGCUGUCUCCCAUGCCCUUCUCUUACUGGGCGUCUCUCUCACAUGACCAUCACUGACUGAUGUGACUCUGGGCUCUCUGAGACAGAAACACCAGGAAGGUGAUUUGCUUCUGGCCUUCCCUCUAGACUCCCCCACAUCAAAAGGCCCAUAUCUGCUAAGUCUGAGACUGGGAGGGGAAGAGAUUGAAAUGUUCUCCCCUUCUGUACAGAUUCCUCAUUCAACCUGGCUGAUUUUUUUUGUUUUUUGUUUUUUUUUUUUUUUUGGAGAGAGAUAGUGAAGGAGAGGGAGGAUGGGGAAUGGGUUGAGAGAAUUUGAGAGAAAAAGAUAAGGAAAAGGAGAGGGAGGGAAAGUGGGAGUUACAUCAUAUCUGUGCAUCUGACUUUUAGAAUUUUUAAGAGCAAAUUUUUGUGUGUCCUCCUUAGAAUUCCAUACGAUGUGAAAUUUGAGACAAGAUGUAUAUAAAGUGUAUAUUUGGAAGGUCAUACGAUGAAGAUCAAAGGUUAUUUAAAUGAGGGGUGGGAGUUGCCUCUUGGUGGUUACUAAAUCUCUACUGUGUAUUUUUAGAGCUUUCAUUGAAUCUUAAGAUAAGGUGAGGAAAACAGGAUUUCUUAAGUAUUGAUAAGUGGCAAUUUAACAAUCUUUGUGAUAACCAUCAAAAAGUUUCCUUGAACAAAGUUAUCUUGCUAAGAGUUUUCAAACUGUGCCCUUGGGUGUUAAGGGAGAGGGAACUGAAUGGUGGGGUUGGCACCGGGGUGUCUGAGGCAUGCUGCCCACUGGCAAGGAUUCGGUGCACCUCUUACAAGUCUUCAUUCGUGAUACCCAAGAUGGGAGCAUUUAUACCACAGAAAGCAGCAUUUAUACCUCCAAAUCAGUGUUUCUCAGAGAGCCCCUUGUUAAACGUUUACCAGCACACCCCUGCUUUUAUUUGUAUUUGUAGAUAAUGUCUGUGUAAAAUACAGCUUUUGAAAAAGUGUUUGGCCUGAAGCAAGUUUGAACCUGAUGCCUCAGUUGGGGUUUUCUCUUCCUUUCUGAGUAAAAUGCAUAGUGAAUAUUAUCCACAUUUUCCUCAACUUGUGCUAGGGUUAAGUCCUGAUAAAGCCAUCAGAAGUCAAAAGUACAUAUAGUGCACCCGAUCUACUGAGCAUCACAGUUUAGCCACACCUACCUUAACCGUGCUCAGAACACUUAGAUUGGCUUACAGAUGGGCAAAAUCCUGUAACACAAAGCCUAUUUGAUAACAAAACAGUUGACUGUAUGAUGAAAUUUAUUGAAUACUGUGCUGAAGGUGAACACCAGAAUGGUUGUAUGGGUGCAGAGUGGUUCUGUACAAGUGUCCAUUGUUUACCCCCUCCCCCACCGAUGGAUGGCGGGGCCAACUGGGAGCUGGGGCUGCUGCUGCCCAGCGUCACGAGGGUCACGGGAGAGUCGCGUGCUGCAUAUCCCUAGACCAGGAAGAGAUUGAAAUCAAAAUUGGAAGUUCGGUUUCUACUGAACCAUGCACCAUGCAUGGUAAAGUAAAGAAACCAUUAAGUCAAACCACUGUAAGCUGGGGGCCAUCUGUAAUUUGAAGAACUAUUAAUCAUUUUAUUAUUUUUAUACCACUUUUUUUCAGAGAUCACAGUGAUUUUAUUUUGCUAAAACUAUAGCAGUUAUAUGACAUACCUUGAGCUUUCUAAUAAAUCUGCAUAAAAUGACUGCAUCAGGUACUUAAAAAUGUUUUAAGAUAAAUCAAAAGAAAGAAAGAUCUUUGGUUGUGGGCUUGGGGUUUAGUAAAUGUAGCCUUUAUUGGGUUAGUCAGCUGAGUAAAUUACAGAAAUGGAUGUGUUCCAGAAAAUUGCCACUCCUUUAUGUUUUAUGUGCCAGGGAGCAGUAUUAAUAUUUCUUUAAGUUCUGAUUAACAUUUUUGUUCUUUUUGGAUUGUGGUAUUGGAAUACGGUAUUGAUUUCUUCCCCACUACUUUUGACUUCCUGGCUGUUUUUUCCUUGCAUGUUUUUUUUUGUAGUGGCACUUUUUGUAAAGUGGCACUUUACUUUUUGUAAACUUGCACUUUGAGAACUUUGAUGGUCAAGCCCAUGAACAAGAAACGUUGGUGAUUUAAGCCUUAGAUCACUCUCCUCAGGUCUCCCCCCACUCCUCUCAGUGCUCCUUUCUCAGGCUUUGUUGGGUCAGAUUUUGGGUCACUAUUCAGGCUAUUUUUUUGGUCUCUUAUCCCAGGAGGCUAGCUGGUUUAAGGCAUGGAAGAUGCCAAGAUCUGAGCUGAGCUUAAGGGAAGGGAGGGAACUCAUUUUGAGUUAAGCCUAAACCAUGUGCUUGGUCUAUAAUCAGAGAGCUCGGCCUUGGGGUUUUAGGUGUAUGGUUCUUUGACUUCCUUUUCUCAUCACUUUUAAACUUCUUCCCCAGGGCCUGUGGAGAGAAGAUGUGGUUGUACCAUGCAGGAACUGGGUACUUUGGAGUCCUUUGGCUUCGUAGCAUGCCCAUUAUUCCAAUGAGGGUCUCCAGUUGUGGUUGUCUGGUUUUGAACUGCUGUUACCUGCCCUCAACCUCUCCGUGGCCAGGCUCUAAUGAAGAGCAUCUUUUUCUGAUGUAUACAAAGGAACUUUGGACACAGAGACUUCCAUAGACAUAAGAUGAUGUGAAGAGACAGGGAGAAAACAGCCAUCUGCCUCCCAAGGAAAAGAUGCCAGGAACAGAUCCUUCUCUCACAGCCCUUAGAAGGAAACAACCUGCUAACACCUUGAUUUUGGUCUUCUAGUUUCCAGAAAAGGAUGCAAUAAAUUUCUGUUGUUUAAUCCCCUCAGUCUUUGUGUGGUGCAUUAUUAUGGCAACCCUGGAAGGCUGGUACAGGGGCUAAGACAUCUUUUGUAUGGACUAGUCCUACAAGAAGAUAAGGUCCCAAUGCUAUUUUGGAGGGCCUGAGCAGACUUCUUAUUUUCCUUGUAGGUAGAGAAUAAUCAAAUAUAAGUAACAGAUAUUUUUUUCAAGAAUUUUGAACAAACUGAAAAUAAAUGUAGUCCAAGGAUUUGGGGUUAAUGGUGUAAGACCCCUGAAUGGCUAAUUCAUGGCAAGUUAAGACUUGGUACACAGUAGAAUUAAGUUGUCUUCUGUGCUUUCAAAUAAAUGACUUCUUUAACAUAAGACAUUAUUAUCCAAAAUGAAUUUUCAACUCAAUCCAAAUACUUAAUGAUGGUGGUAACAAUGGUAGAGUCAUUUGUGCUUAAGGACAUUUGGACACCCUUGGGACCAAAAGAAAUUAGACUGAGCUGAAGUGUUUUAAUCACAAUUAAAGAUGUAUCCAAUGACACUUGGUUCAGAUUUCAUCAGAUGCACAGUUAUUUUGGCAUAAACAAUUUAGUGGAAAAUAUGGUAGGAUAAGAAGAAAAAGUUUUUUUUAAUUUUUCCAGGCAGAUGAAUUUAAAAAAUUUCUUUGUAAGAGACUUUCUGCAUUAUAACUCGUUUGCUCAUAUUCUUUGUGUAUAAAUAAUUUAUUUGCAUACUAACAAAGGGAGUGAUUUAUUUUUCCUAAAUUUCUCCCCUUUCUCUCGUAGCACUGGAUGUCGUGCUCGCACUACUCUGUUGAGAAAGUCAGUCGUUUGUGCAACUGCCUUCCUGGCACAGUGACUGCCUAGAGAGCUCGCUUGGUUUCUUAGUGUUUCCUUAGAAGCCAUUAUUUGAUAUUUAUUUAAUUCUGCUAAUCUAGAGGCGCUUCAGCAAGCAAAAGUUAUCCAGAAGAUCAGCUGUUUCUUUCUUUGAUGAAUGCUUAUUGUUUGUAAAUGAAAUUCAUAGGUGAAAACAAAUCCUUAAAAAAUUAUAUACUAUUAUUAGAUAAUGUUUUUUUUUCAAAGGAAACCAGUGAUCAGGAGGUAUUUUCUCUUUGGUUGUGACUUGAAGACAGUUCAGACAUAUUUAACUGUAAUUUUGGUAGCCACAUUUGAGUAGGAAAUAGUAUACAAGACAUUUCAUUGCAUGUGGUAAGUGUAUCAGAAAUCUCUUUUGUGCCACCUCAGAUGCUUUGCCUGUCUUGCUGGAGCUCUGGACGUCUCCCACUGCAGUUGCUGGGUGGUGACUGACUUGGUAUGGCUCCAGGAUCUAAUAGAUGGGAGCGUGCUGAUGGGUAAUUUAUCUUUCUACCCCUUGACGGACUGUUCUGAGGAAAGCUUUCUCUAUAGCUUAUCCUGGGAGACUGUCUCUUUGUGAAGGGGCUAAUUUUGAAAGACAAUAUCUUGCAUUUGCUUCCCAGUCUUACCUGCCUCAGCUCUCUUUUCCAUUACCACCCUCACCUGGGAUUCCAUCUCCUUAUGAAGCUUAGAAUUUAAGCCUCAACCAGGCUCAAUUUUCCAGGGCAUUUAUUCCAGGACUGUAAAAGUUCUGUAAGUGUUUAGUAAAUUGAAAUGAAGAAAAAAUAGAGUCUGGGCUAAACGGGGGCUUUUGUUUAAUCAUUUUCAUCUUUCUGUGCUUCAGAAGCGCUUGGUCUGCGCCUCUUGACCCAGUCACCUUGUGGAUUAGUAGGGGUGGUGCCUGGAAAAAAAAACAACCAACAUAUUAAAGUCUAUUUCACUGAUAGUAAGGGGUCUACCAGAUGAAUUGAAGAGAAGUUGCAUUUCCAAAAGCCUGUUUUAAUAAGGGAAGAGGAAGGGCAAAUGAUUCAGAGUGAGAAUAGUCCAGACUGGGGGCCCGAAGCCCAUCUUUCCUCAGAAACACAGUGUACUUCUAGAUAAGUCAUGGUUGCCUUCUCUAGGUACUUUCCCUGUUAGAAAAACCCCUAUGUCAUUUCUGGCCUUCAUUCUUCCUUAAGAAGAAACGGAAGUGUUUCUCCAGUGUCUUUUCAGUUUCAUUGAAUUUAUGAUUGAUGUGUAUAUGAGACUUGAAAGACUGAAAAUGUGAAGCUUCUGUUAAAAGGUCAAAAGGAAAUUAUUAUUAUUGUUAUUUACCACUCUCUUGCCUUUAGUAACUGGGAGUUGUUAGAAAUUUCAUAGUAACUAAAGGAAAAUUGUUUCAGACAUUCAAGAUGUUAAAAAAAAAAAAGAUACACAGCCUCUGUUGUAUAUUUUAGUGCAUGUUGGUACCCAGGGCCAAGACCUUUGUGGUCUUGGGAAGAAAUGUAGACAUUAUUACUACUUUUAUUGCCAUAACUGUUAUUAAUAAUAAAGAGGAUUGUUACAGAAAUGAAAAUAAGGAGGCACCAGCUAUGCUGACCUGUAUGAAACCUUUUGCAAUUUAAUGAAAAAAGACAAGAAGAGAUAACAUUUAGAGUAUUAUCUAUUUUUGUGUGUGUAUAUGAAAUUGGGGUCAAGCAACUAUAUCUGCAGGUAACAUCUUUAAGGACUAUGUAAUCGAUCAAAUCCAUAGUAAAUGAGGAAAAUUCUAAUUUUGUAUAAUUUGGCAACUGAAAAGUAUGAAAAGGAAAGCUGUGUUGGGAACUUUAAAAAACUCCUGAAAGGUCUGCUUUUAUCAAGAUACAUGUUGGGGAGGUUUAUUAUAAAUCAACUGAUCAGACCAUGACUCAUCUUCAGGGAUGUUACUGGAAGUGGCUAUUUGGAUCUUACCAUCACUGGAGGUAAUGCUUGAUCUUGUCACUGACCAUAAAGAUGUUUCAAAAGCAGUGACAUAAGCUGCACUCAGUAGAACCCACCAAGGCCACUGCAGGAGCAGUGUAUUUAAGUGUUUAGUCCAGCAAAGACAUGAUGUUCAUCUUGUCUUUACUUCUGCUGUAAGGGCAGACAUGAAGAAACAUUCAUUUUGGCUAACAUAAAGUCAUUACAAAUGAGGCAAGAGAGCAGUGGAGUGUAAAGCAAGCCGCCAGUCCCUAUUAGUGGGAAAAUUAAGAGAAGUUGCGGUGCUUCAUGUUUGUGGAUGUGGAAGGAACAGGAUUCACAUGUGCAUUCAUCGCCGCCAUUUGUAGACUGGCAGGAAUCCUGGACUGGCACGGCUGACCUGGGGUGGCCGUGGGGAUUGUGCUUCCAGGCUGCAUCAAUGUGGGGGGGGGGGGCUUCUAAAUGCCAUAUGUGGGGCAGAGAAGGAGUGUAAGCAAUAGGUAACACUAACAGGUUUUGGGUUCAGAUAGAGGAGAAAAAAAGUAGAGGAAAUAAAAUGUAAAGGCUGAUCAUCCAACCCAGACUCCUCUUCAGUGAAGAAAUCCCUUUCAUUGUGUCCUGAAAAAAACCACAGUCAAUAGUAUAGCGCAGGGGGACCCUAAUGUCAGUCUGGGGAUUGGCUGCAUCAGAAUUUUCUAGGGAGCUUUAGAAAUACACUGCCCAGACGUUCUGAUUCACUAAUCUGAAGUAGGAUUUGGGAUUCUGUAUUUCAAAAAAAUCUCUCCAAGGGAUCCUUCUAGCCAGUCAUGUUUGGGAAUUCCUGAACUUUAUUUAAGCACCAACAGUAACGCUGAGCUCGUUACUAUUUCGUUCCUGGUUGACCAAUGUGAUUAUAAGUUGUUAUCUUAUUUCAAACCCAAAUCUGCAUCUUCAAAAUUUCCACCCAUUUUUUUUUAAAUUCUUCCUGGAAUUCUUGGAGUAAUUUAAAAGUCUUGGGUCAAGUUGGAGAACUUGAAUUUGUGAUGGACCUCGUCAUCAUAGAUUUAUGAUCUUAACCAGCAGCAAGGUAAUAUUGGAGCAAAGAAUAUGAAUGAUGAAUCGACUCAGAUAUGGGGAUUGGAAGAUCAGCGAACUGAAGAAUUUUAGGAUGCUGGAGAGGGUAAAGUUGAAAUGACCAUACAUUACCGGGGGACUGUUGAGGCCUUCAGAGCAAGUGUGGACUGGGUAUGGGGAGCUGCCAAAGGACUAAGAGGUCAAAGGGUAGACUCGGCUGAUGGGGGAGAUUCAGUAUAGGCUGGGCUGGUAGUUAACUAGCCUGCCACUGAUUUCCCAGGCCUGGAUGCAGUAGGUUCUCAAUAGGUGUUUAUUGACUGACUGACGAUGGCAAAAGGCAGAUAGAGAGGUGAGGAUGGAAGAAGAAAGUGAGGAGACUGUAUCAGAAAAUAAUUGACUAGAAAUCUUAGAGGUGAAAAGUUCUUAGCAGUGGGAAAACCCAAGUUGGGGCUAAAGUGUGAUGGAGUUGAAAGUGACAGCAGUUGAGAAAGGUUGUGGUUGUCAUCAUGGGUGAUUCUGUUACUGAGAAUUAUGGCCAAAGAUUGGGGAGAGUAAUUGUCACUAAGAUGUGAGCUAAGUGUUUGGAGAUGAUACAGACAUGAAAUAGAAAUGGCAAAGGGCAUGAGAAAUGGCAGAGAGCAUGAAGUGUGAGGGCCUGGCUCUGUCUUAUGGGUGAGUUUGGGCAUGUCCCACAUCCAUUCUGGACCUCUGUAUUCUUUUGAGUUAAUAACAUCUUUUCUACCUCUCAUUCAGAGUUGUUGGAAGCUUAUAUGAGAUACAGUGAUAGGUUUGUAAAAGUCACUUUGAAAGGUUAGAUGAUCUCAAAGGACUGUCCUAGUUUUGAGAUCAUCAACAUAACUAUUCCAGUUAGUUAUUACAACAUAUUGAUAUUAUGAUAUGUGACAAAAUAUGUAUGUAUGAUAAAGCUACAGUUGAACUUGAAAGAAAAAUAUCUAAAACUAGUACUCUAGCACAAGUAGCCAAACAACAAUUAAGCUAAAUGACUUCUAUCUCUGAAAUUAAUAGGUCAAGUUUGAGGAAGAUGAUUCUAAUAUUUCUUUUUCUUUCAUCAAGCACCUGCUGGCACUUUUUGAAAGAUCCAGAAAUCUACAUGUUGGACAUGAAUCUUGCUGUUGCUGUAAAUGCACCUUCCACAACUUGAUUUUCUGUAAUAUCCAUUACUCAAGUAAAACUAUGUUGCAACUAAAUGCUGCUUUGAUGCUGAUACUUCAUUUUCAAAUUUAUUACAAUUAGUUAUAAUUCUAUAACUCUAUAAAUUCCAGUGAGUAGGCAGUUUUCCAUAAUGUUUCUUUACAUCUCUCUCUCUCUUUUUUAAAAGUAAGCUCUAUGCCCAAUAUGGGGCUUGAACUCACGACCUCCAGAUCAAGAGUCGCAUGCUCUACCAACUGAGCCAGUCAGGUGCCCCUAUGUAUCUCUUGAACCAUGGCUCCUCUUUUGACUUUGGAAUAUUCAAAACUCAGCACCCAAUCUAGGAGGAAGAUUGCAGUUAAAAAGAUGAGUCUAUACAGUUCUUACAUUGGCUUUACUUUCUACAUUAUUGUUUCUGCUGUGGAGCACAAUCUCAAAGUCUCACGUAUAUCCAAAGUUGGAUUCAGGUAUGGUUUCUAUUAAGUGGUCUCUUGCCCCUCAUUUCUAACACAGUAUUUGCAGCUAGUCCUUUAGGACGUUCAAAAGCUUAAAAUAUGUUCUUUUGGUAAAAGAAGGAGAUAUUCCCAGAUUCAUAGUGUUCUUCCUUGAAGUGUACUUGAGAGAAACUGGAAGUCCAUUUCCAGGAGUCUAGUCUGUGGCAGAGGCAUUAUUUAUGGCCUAAGAACAUCAUAAAUACUGUAGGUUCUUUAUAUAAACCUUUACUGAGUGGUGUUGGUUCUAAGAAGUAGAGGCUAGAGGUGAAGAGAGGAAAAACAUUCUUCUGAGAAGGAUGAGGUCACUGUUCCAGCAUUUGGAAGGGUUUUUAUCAAUUUACAACUAACGCAUGUCUAAUGAUAAUUACCAUGCACAUGUAUUACUCUUAGCAAAAUAAGAUACAAAGCAAGGGGCUGCGAGUUAUUCCAAAUUCUCUUGCUAAAGAAAUAACAAAUACAGAAAACUCAGGGGAACCUUGUACCUAACAGAUGAACCUAUUUGGUUCAGCUAGAUUUCCCAGAACAGAACUGGGAGAACUGUUUUCUUUGCUUUGAAUUACAGAGAUUGAAAGUGGAAUGAUGUACAUAGUGGCUUGCAGAAAAGGAGACUAACCAAUGGAGAGAUGGUUUUAGAACAGUAGAAUGGGAAUAUUUUAUAUUACUUUGGCAUUUUUCCUGGGCCCCCCAUUGCUGUAAUAUGACUGCACCAUUUCCUUAUUCUGUUUUGCUCAAAGUUUUGCCUACUAUAUAUUAUGGAUUAAAUAGUGUCUCCCAAAAAGGAUUUGUUGAAGUCCUAACCCCCAGGUCCUCAGAAUAUUUGGAAAUAGGUUCUUUGUAGAGGCAACUGAGUUAAAAUGAGAUCAUUAGACUGGGCCCUAAUCCAAUAUGACAAAUGUCCCUGUGUAAAAGAAAUUUGGACACAGAGAUAGGCAUGCAUGGAGGGAAGAUGAUGUAAAUCCACACAGGAGAAAACGGCUAUGUGAAGAUGGGGGCAGAAAUUGGAGUUAGGAAGCCAUAAGCCAAGGAAUGCCUGGGGCCACCAGAAACUAGGAGAGCCAUGGAACAGAUUCUUCCUCAUAGCUCUUAGGAGGAACCAAUCCUGUUGACACUUUGAUUUUGGACUUGUAGCCUUCAGAACUAUGAGACGAUAGGCCACUCAGUUUAUGGUACCUUGUUAUGGCAGCCCCAGGUAAUUAAUACACUCUGCUUACACCAAACCUAGGAACUUUUCAUGUUUCCUCCAGUCCUUUGCUGUCUAUUGAGAAGUAAAAUUUCAGACUCCCUAAAAUGUCCUUAACUCUAUCCUCCACCCAGUUUCCUCUGCACAGCUGUAGAUGAAUGGUAGGUAAAUAUAGUCCUCGUUGGGAGGAUUCUUACUUGUCCAGAAAGGUUGAACUGUGUAAGUGACAUGAAUUGUAAUGCAGAUUACUUCAUGUCAGGACCAGUAAAACCUUGAACCUUAAGCAUCUCCCAGAUAAAGGAAUAUUGACAGAUCUUAACUAUGGAGACGGUGUUGUGAUAAUAACCAAUUCAACGCAGAAUAUUGCUUUUUUCCAAGGAAGAUUCAAGUAGGGAGUCAAUAACAUGAACUUUCACAUCAGCUAGUCCAAGAUGAAAUACUAGCAUGGGCAUCGAUUAAUCAAGAUGGUCUUGUCCCUUGUGUUCUUGUCUUGGGAAAGAACUUAGUUCAGUAUCUUUAAGAUUUAUUCACCUUGUAUUUGUACUGAUCACAUUCAUUGAACUGCAGACUGGAGCCAAGAACUAUAUUCUGAAGCUGAGCUGGUGAUAGGCAGUCUGUCUCAGUCCUUGGAGUAAAUCCAGCCAUCUUAAAUAUUGAAGUGUUACUUUAUGAUGCCCUGGAGACAUUUUCAUCAUGCCAUAUUCUUUGUGAUCUGCUGAGACCAACCACUGAAUUUGAAUGCUUUUCCAAGACAGGUAGAUUCUCUCAGCAAAAAUUACUUAAAAAGCUGGUGUGAAUGACUGAUAGAAAAAUACCUAUCUGGACAUUUAAGAAAUAUAAAUAAAAUAUACCUGGUGGAAAGAAAAAAUUAUUUUGACUUAACACGUGUAUAAUUAUGUCCAUACCCAUAUUCGUACACAGAUUUUCUUUGAGUCCAGUUUAUGCACCUAUAGAGAAAGGACUGGAGCUUUAAAAACUCAUUUGCAUGUUCAUGAGUACUUUACUUUAUAUCGUCAUGGUCCUUUACCAGUUAGAUACUGUUAAUUACCACUGCUACUACUCCUAACAUUAGCAUUUAGUGGGUAUUUACUGAGUAACAGGCAAUGUGAUAAUUGCUCUUUCUACAUAGUCCCUUUUAAUUCCUUUGACAACCCUAUGAAGUAUAUCUCUUUGUCUCCAUUUUACAGACUAGGAAACCAAGUCUUAGCAAUAUUAAGUAGCUUGGACAAGGUCACACGGUGAGUGAUGAUGCAGGGAUUAGAGAUCCAGAUCUUUCUGAUCCCAAAGCUUGUAUUCUUAUCCACUUUGCACUUCAAUCUCAAGUGUACUGUUAAGUACAAAACCUCUUAUUGGUAAAGGCUCAACUCUGACAGUCCACUUUCAAUUGGCAGAGAUCAGUUCAGAGCUGACAUGUGUACAAGGAAGUAGCAGGAUGCCUCAGGGACUGAGUAAUGCAAAAGCAGCACCAAUGGAGAGAAAAGCCAUUCCUGGCACUAAACCGCCAGCAACAGCACCUUUAAAUAAACAUAAUGGACACCAUAUGCUAACUAACUUGGAUGUAAAUUAGACAAUAAAAAAUUUUUUUAAAAAGGAAAAAAAAGGAAACGUAAUGGGGACUCAGUCCCUUGUGUAUACCUCAUGUAGCCAUAGCCAGUGACUGAGAAUCUUGUGUAAUGAGGGUACAAUUCAGGAGGUGACCAUCCAAUGCAAUACUACAAGGGACAGGAACAUUCAGAGUGUGCAGAACAGGUAGAGGAAGGCUAGAAAACUUGGGUGACUGAGAAGAAGAAAUGGGUGGGAUGGAAAUGGAAAUAACUCUUGGCCAAGAAAAGGAAUUAUAAGAAACCCAUAUGUAUUUUAAAACAUGGCCAUGAGUCCUUUGAUGCCCUUCUUAUGAAGACAUAGGGGUCUAUGCCUCUUCUGUUGAAUUGGGACAGGCUUGUGACUGCUUUGGCCAAAAGAAUAUUAUGGAAGUGAUGCUAUGUCACUUCUGAGGCUAGGUCACAAAAGACAUGGAACUUCUACCUCUCACUCUUGAGCCCUGAGACUCUAGGCAAGAAGUCCUAUUACCCUGAAGCUGCCAUACUGGCAGGGUCAUGUUCAGGUGCUCUGGCUGAUAGUCCCAGUGUUACAGCCACUUGCCUUCCCCUAUAAGGUGCCAGACAUGUGAUUGAGGCCAUCUGUCAGCUGAAUGCAGCAGCAUGAUCACCAUCAACAUCAUGUGGAAUAGGUGAAUCACCCAGCUGAGCCCAGCCCAAAUUCCUGAUAGACAAAAUCAUCAACAACAGAUAAGUGGAAUCCCUAAAAAUGGGGCCGUGAGUGAGAAGAGUCACUGGUAUUGCAAGAUGUAGAGAGUAUCUAAAGACUUCUCAUUUCUGAAUAGCUCUACCUCUGAUCAUGCCUGAAAUUCCAUUACAAAUCUAUUUCUUGAAGGUGUGUUUUAAUUUGUGGGGGCUGAAAAGGAUACUGAACACUAGUGACCAAGGACUCUCAAAUGCUAUGACUGAGAAGGCAGUAAAGCAAGGACUCUCCCUCAGAAGGAAGCCAUGGAUGUUCUGACACCCCAGGACAACGCACCUGAGUAGGACCGUGGUGGGCGAAGGGAAAAUGCCUGACACCUGGUAUCUACCCCUCAGGAUGGACUGAUGUUUGCCGAUGCUUUUCCCUGGGGAACAGUCUCCCGCACUUCCAUGGUGGAAUGAAAAACUUGGCCUGAGGUUUUAGCCAUCGUGAACAGCUGGCUCCUUGGAGGGGGACUCUGCAGGACACUGCUAGCUGUCUAUAAAUAACGAAUGGUUCUACAGAGAGAAGAGGACUCUGAGACCACCAGAUAGUGGUUGAUAUCCACUGCCGCCUCUACCCCAAUCUGUCUAUUUCUGUCUCAUCUAUUUCUGUCUAUCCAUUAUCUAUCUAUCCAACCAUCAAUCAUCUGUUAUCUAUCCAUAUAUAUCAAUCAAUUAUCUAUCAUCUAUCACAUUUAUCUAUCCAUCUAUUAACUAUUUAUGCAUCCAUCCAUCAUAUGAAUUAUGUAUGUAUGUAUGUAUGUAUGUAUGUAUGUAUCUAUCUAUCUAUCUAUCUAUCUAUCUAUCUAUUACCCUUCCAUUCAUCUUUCCAUCUAUGAUCUCAGAUUAAAUUGAAUUCAAAGACACUGUUGCAGCGCACCUGGGUGGCUCAGUCAUUAAGCAUCUGACUUUAGCUCAGGUCAUGACCUCACAGUUCAUGAGUUCGAGUCCCACAUUGGGUGACCUGGAGCCUCGCUUCAGGUGGGCAUGAGCCCCGCUUCAGAUUGUCCUGUGCUUCCUUGAUGACUACAAAUAUAUGUUGAACCACCUAAAUCUACAGAUUCAUUACAAGUGCCACUUCAUAUUCAGAGAGAGUGAUUUUUUUUCUCCCUUUAUGUGGACCCCUCUGGGAUGUCUCCAGCGGAGCAAGAGCCAGACCUACCUUGUUCAUAGUUUUCUUCAUACGAAAUGCAUUGCUUAGCACCUUGUAGGAGCUUCAUUGUAUAUAUGUGGAAUCACUGAAUCAACAUAAAAGGAAGGAUAAAACUUUGGCGUUGAUAAAAGAAGAGCAACAGCAAAUCCCACCCCUGCCAUUUACUGGCCUGUUAACUUCUCUCUGCCUGAAUUUCCUCAACUGCUAAGUGGGAAGGAUCGUGAUAAUCACAGCAUGUACCUCGCGAUACCUUGAUUUCUCGGGCUGUGCUUCCUGCAACAUGGAGGGUGUGUAACAGCACAGUGCUCAUGAGGGAACUUCAGCCAUGUCUGUCUUGGGCCAUCGCACAGAUGAUUCCUGCAUUUGGGAGCACUUCUUGAGCCAGGCCAUAUGCUCAGCAUCAAGGGAGCUUCAUGUGUUCCGUCUGGAGCACUGGGAAUAAUGAGAUCCUGAACCGCAAAGGGCAGAGUCCCUGGAAAGCAGCCAUACUUGGUGGAGUGGCCAUUAAUCCCACAGAAAUGAGAGGGGCUGGAUAAAGAGAAGAAAAAAAAGGCUUCUCAUCUUCAGGCUUCUUCGAGGAGAAAAUUUAUGGUCUCUGGACUAGAGGACCUAUGUUCCAGGUUUUGCAGGGUCUGGUUAGAGUCCACCUGGUUCCUGAGCAAAUCCUACUUUAGUAACAACAAAAUUCGAUUAAUCAUCAUCGUCGUCGUCGUCGUCGUCAUCAUCAUCAGUAGCAGCAGCAGCAGACACCCAACAUUUCUCAAACAAAGAAUAGUUUACAAAUACCUUCAUGUGUGGGGAACCAUUUGCUCUUCUUCAACUGCCUUCUACGGCCAGGCGGGGUAUGUAAGAAUGUUAUCAGGACAGAGCCACUACUUGGUGUAGAUCAAUGCAAACUGUGAUGCCGUGUUCACUAUACCCUUAAAUGAGACCUAUACCUGAGGAAUCCUUUCUCGAGAUGGGCUCAGACAUUAUGGAUAUGAGAGGAAGUCUGCUAGCCUGGAGCAUGAAAACAGCAAGGAUUGAAAUAUAUAAGCAGAGAGAAGAAUUCUGUACGUUAGUGUUAUGUUUCUGAGUUUCUCCUGGGACGAGGGUGAUUCAUUAUAUAAACAGGGAUGAGAUCACAUGGGCCGAUCAGGUCUAUAAUAAAUCUUGAGACAACUCCGGGAAGGGUACUCUGUGGUGUUAGCAAUCAAAUGUAAGGAGACCACACCAUCCCCUUCUUAAGUAUCAACAGCAACAAAGUGAAAGCACACAGGUGUCUGAUUUGUUCUUUCUAAUUCGCUAUGAUGACUUGGGGAAGUGUGGCUGCCAAGUGCCGGCUCCUAGUGUGCAUAAAGGCAGUGACUUCAUGAGAACUAUCAGAAGAUUAAAAAAUUCAAAGACAAAGGAUGACAAGAAAGAUGAACUGAACUAAAGUAAUUAGUGUUCAUCACAGUACUAUGUGCUGCUGUAUUGACCCGCUAUGAUCAGUUCCGACAAGAGGCCACGAAUAUGCGUACAAAAUGGAAGAAACUGAACAAGGUGGAGAGGUGGGUUGGAGAAGAGGGGAAGUGCCUCUGGGCCACCAUGGCUAUCUGUGACCAGGCAGGCACUACACCAGUACAUUUUAAUGCCUUUGUAUUUGUCCUUACACUUGGCCAGUCCUAUUAGUAAGUGACAUGCUUGAUGGUUUGUUGUUUUCCUUAAUUUCCUAGAGAAAAGGUCUCUGAAAACUCUAAACCUUUCUGAGUGAAACUAAAAGAAACAGUUCCCCCCCGCCCCCCCAUCACACUCCCACCCACCCGCCCUGCCUGCAUUUCUCAGUUUUGACUGAGGGUCCUGGAUGAAAAGUUUGUAGGAAGCAGAAAGUAGGGGGAUUAUCAGGGAUGGUGCUGCAUUGAAACCAAGGAAAGGAUGUAUUCUAGGGCAGAACAAUGUGGAGUAGUCUCACAGAGCUGAAUUGGCACACUAGCUCUGCUGUGAGAUCCUGAAGCACUUAAACCUUGUGAGACUCAGUUUCCUUACAGUAACAUUGAUCUAAUGAUGCCUGUUUUAAUUGGCUGUUUAAAGGUUUACAUGAAAUAACAUAUCUGUGAAGGGUCAAGAGGACUGUGUGGUAUACAGCAGGUACUCAGUCAUGGUAGCAGCUACUUCUACUACUCUUGUCACCCGCACUGCCACUAGAGCCAUCAGGUUGGAGAAAGCAAGAAACCAGGUUAGCUCUUGUCUGCCACUUUUCCAUUCUCUUGGAUCCUGUUAUUGGGGAUAGAAAGGGCAAGACUUCUCUCAACAAAACCAGUUAGAAACCCAUGACUCCAUUGUUUUAGCUAAAGAAGUCGGUCCUGCAAAGAUUUUACCAAUAGUAGUUUAAAAGUGCUUUGGUCUGGGAGGCUACACCAGGCACUAGAAUUCUGAUUCCAGGUAUGUUCCCAACUGCAGUUCAACUGUUCAGCCAUUGUGAUGACAUGCCUUAGUUUUCUGAACUUCAGUUUGCCUUUUGCUAAAUGAGACUGGAACUAGAUCUCAAUCCAAUCAAAUUGGUAGAAAUGUUUGAGUAACAAAGGCCAAAUAGCAAAAGAUUUCUUGUGUAUUUCUUCUGCUCUCUUGUCUCCCACUUUUGCCACAAACACACACAUUCCGUUGCUCUUUUUACAAUAAAGGUUUUGAUACAGUGAAGACACAACUGGGGAGCCCAUGCGUCCAUUUGUUCACUUACUCAAGGACCCUUUCUGAGCACUUAUUACAUGUCAGGCAUUGACCUAUUUAGGGAAGUGCUUGGGCUCCCCCAGGCAUUGUAAUGGAGGGUGCAUGAAUCAUGGCUUCAUAUAUGAUCUGGCAGCAUAAGAACUUUGUAAGUGGAAACAGUGGGUCAGGAAGCAAGGAGGCAAAGUCAGUCUCUGCACAAUGAGAGACUGAGCUUGGAAUGGUGCACUGUGAUCUGGGAACCUCAUUAUUAGCAAGUUGGAGACACACUGGAGAGUGUUCAGAGAAAAGCCACAAGGAUGAUAAACGGGCGGAAAGACUGAUUUAUGAAGACUUACACAACAAAAUAUGUAUUCUUGGAUCAACAAAGACUUCAGAAGAAAGUGAUCACUAUCAACAACUCUCUGAAGGUUGUGAAUUCCCCAGAGGCACCCCAGAGGUGUUUGCCUGAUAUGUGAAAUGUGACAAGGAAUCAGAAGAUGGCAAAUUUAACCUGUGGAUCAGGGAAAAAUGAGAAAUAUAAAUCUAUCCAGGCCUUAUUGAUGGGAAGUAGCUUCCAAGGGCAAUAUCCUUAAUCUGUUUUAUCUCCUAUAUACAUUUCUGCAGUUGUAAUUAUGCAAAUCAUUUGUUGUUUCUUUAUGUUCAGGGGUUUUAUGUGUGUUUCCUAUUUACACACACCUUCCCUGAAGAUGUCAAGAAUGAAAUAUUUGAUUUUUUUUUGUAACCUUCCACUUCAAAGGCUUAAAGAUAAAAGCAGUUGAGUUAUGGACAAAUUGUUUUUUUAAACCAAAGUUUGCAUGCUUAACCUUUGUUGAAAGUCGUUGUCAUAAUGUGAAUUUUAUUCCUAUGAAAAGCCAGAUGGGUGACUCUUUACAAAACUAUCCCUCAGUGACCUGAUCAACAGUUUUACGCACACACACACACACACACACACACACACGCAUACACAUGAUACACCAUAAAGCUUUCAAAGGA